RNAcentral lists this transfer-messenger RNA (390 nucleotides) under Eubacteriales. Its description in RNAcentral is "UMGS1865 sp017613355 Standard tmRNA". It matches the Rfam family "transfer-messenger RNA". From Rfam's summary of the family: Bacterial tmRNA, also known as 10Sa RNA or SsrA, is named for its dual tRNA and mRNA-like properties. The record is from RNAcentral. RNAcentral also lists the same sequence under 1 other name. Lineage: Bacteria; Bacillati; Bacillota; Clostridia.
GGGGCUGCAAUGGUUUCGACGGGGAUUCCGACACAUGAUAAGCGUGGCGAGCCGGGUAAACUCGAUAACUGCCCAACUUCAAAAAUAAACGACAACAACACUGUUGCUGUGGCUGCUUGAUUUUACGCCUUUGGCGUAAAAUCGACAGUGCCGUGACCUACGGGUCACCCGUUCUUCCGAGGAGUACCACGACCUCGGACCGAGCGUCAAAUGAGUGGUGAACCUGCAUCGGCGGUUCGCUCUUGAACCGAUCAGGCAAAAAAGGGCUACCUUGCGGUUGAGCGUGUCUGUUCGCGCUUCCAAAAGGGAAAUACAAACAACAGACUGUCCACGAAGAAAGUCAUGCCGAAGGAUUUUCGGACAUGGGUUCGAUUCCCAUCAGCUCCACCA